Long non-coding RNA from Camelus dromedarius (Arabian camel), 1639 nucleotides. RefSeq lists it as uncharacterized. Lineage: Eukaryota; Metazoa; Chordata; Mammalia; Artiodactyla; Camelidae. The record is from RefSeq and is a predicted model, not a curated record. The transcript has 3 exons.
CUCGUCAUCCCCCCUCUAGUCCUGGAGUUGGGGAGGGCCCCCAACUCCCUUGCCCCUCCUGCAGGCCCCGCCCAGGCCUCCCCCACCAGGGGGCAGCAGAGAGCUUUCCAGAACUGGCGCCUCCCCAGCCUAGCAGAACUGCCAACAAACAUCUAACCUUGACCCCAGGCUGCCUUCUCUGUGGGCUGGGUGGGUUUGGAAAGUGGGGAGGAGUCCGCACUGUAACUGAGAACAUGGAGACAUGACGAAGGCAAGCGCCAUCACGAUCGCCCUGAGGGCACGUCUCUGAGGACAGCGACCUGCUGGGCAGCGUCCCCGGGCUGGGCCUGCGGCCAGGCCGCGUGGGGUGGGGCCGGCGGCCGGGUCACGCUUGGCCCUCCACCUGCCUUGGAAUCCAUGCCUUCCUUGACCUUCUACCAGCUGCCCCUCCCGCCCGGGGUCCCAGCCUUGCAUCCUGGGACCCCUUGCUCUUGGGCAGCAGAACUGGAGGCCCAGAGGAGGCUCUGGGUUCAAAUCCCAGCCCCUCAUUUAGAGGCUGCGGGGUUUGGGUUGAGAAAGCUGACUUCUCUGAGCUCGUUUGGUCACAACUCAAACGAGGCUGCUAAUCUCAGGAUCUGGGGUUGAACUGAGGAUUCGAGGAGCAGAGGGCUCAGCUCAGUGCCAGACCCCAGGCUCAGUGUUGCCUGUUUCUUAUUAACGGCGCUCAUUACUAUGGGAAGAGCUCCAGCCGCCACAGGCUGCAGAACACUGAACCAAAGUCUGAGUCACUCCUAUCAAGUCGCUUAACCUCUCAGACCCUCAGUCUCUUCUUUGUAACCAAAAACAAACCCUACCUCAAGGUUCUGAGCAUGAAGACAGACCGUGUGCCGGCCACAGAGUGGGCAUGCAAAACUGGGCAGCCAGCCAGCACCCCGUUUGUAGCCGAGGCUCAAAGAUGCAAACAGCCGUGGUGUGCUCUACCUAUGGAGGGGGCCAUGUGACAAGGAGCUGAGCGGUUCCUGGCCAACAGUCCUCAACAAUAUGGGGACCUUAGUCUUGCAACCACAAGGAACUGAAUUUUGCCAACAACCACGUGGUGUGGAAGGGGUCCCUGAUUCCCAGGUAAGAUCACAGCCCAGCUGACACCUGGAUUUCAAUCUGCUGAGACCCUGAGCGGGGAACUGUGCCGCUUCGUGACCAAAGAAGGAUGCCCUGGAGGCCACCCAGGCUGUGGCGAGUAUCAGUGCACCAGAAACUUCUUCCUUCACGUCGGGAGCGGCGUCCACAGCGCAGACAGGACGGACACACCGCAGGUGGCGUAACCAUUCACGUGGGACACCUGGUCGACCCCGCUUUGGGCCAGCACCCGGAGGGCUGCUCUGAAAGACUAUGUGCAGGUUUUGUGAGAACACAAGUCUUCGCUUCUCUGGGACGAACGCCCAGGAAUGUGAUAGCCAGGUCAUGUGUGUGUGUUCAGUUUAGUUUUUUUCUUUUUCUUUUUUUUUUUUAAGAAACUUCCAGAUUGUCUCCCAGAGCUGCUGCACCAUUUCACAUGUCCUGACAGGAUUCUGACCAAAGCUUGUACCUCGGAGGAAAAAUGCAAACGUGUUUGUUAUCUUUGGUUGCCGUGGUCAAAUAUAAUUUUUAUUCCUUGUGUGUA